CUCUUCCUGCAUUAGUGGAAUCUUCUCUCCUGCUGCAACCCUAAGCUGCCAUUCCACCAAGUCUGUCCCAGUGAUCAUCUCUGUAACAGGGUGCUCCACCUGCAGCCUGGUAUUCAUCUCCAUGAAGUAAAAAUUAUGCUGGGAAUCCAUAAUAAACUCCACUGUUCCUGCUCCCACAUAAUUCACUGCCUUGGCUGCUUUCACAGCAGCUUCUCCAAGUCUCUUUCGAACUUCAGGAUUAAUUCCUGGCCCUGGUGCUUCUUCAAUGAUCUUCUGAUGUCUUCUUUGCACACUGCAGUCUCUUUCAAACAAAUACACCGCAUUGCCAUGCUGGUCACCAAACACUUGGACUUCAACAUGCCUUGGAUUAUCUACAAAUUUUUCAAUCAGCAUUGCAUCGUCAUUGAAAGACUUCUUUGCUUCUCUCCGUGCUGAUUCGAGUUGGUCCAGAAACUCCUUUUCUGAAUGAGCGAUUCUCAUGCCCUUUCCUCCACCGCCGCGAACAGCUUUAAUCAUUAC
RNAcentral lists this long non-coding RNA (519 nucleotides) under Gallus gallus (chicken). The record is from RNAcentral. Lineage: Eukaryota; Metazoa; Chordata; Aves; Galliformes; Phasianidae.